CCCUUGUAGUCCUGGUGCAAGUGCGUAGGCCGAGCUGUAGGCAAAUCCGCAGCUCACAGAGGCUGAGACACGAUGCGGAUAAAAAGUGGGUGAUCCUAUGCCGCCAAGAAAAGCAUCGACGCGAGGUUCCAGCCGCCCGUACCCCAAACCGACUCAGGUGGUCAGGUAGAGAAUACCAAGGAGAUCGAGAGAAUCGUGGUUAAGGAACUCGGCAAAAUGCCCCCGUAACUUCGGGAGAAGGGGGGCCUUCGACGUAUUAGGACUUGCUCCGAAAGCGUUUGGAGGCCGCAGAGACUAGUGGGUAGCGACUGUUUACUAAAAACACAGGUCCGUGCCAAGUCGCAAGACGAUGUAUACGGACUGACGCCUGCCCGGUGCUGGAAGGUUAAGAGGACCGGUUAGCCGCAAGGCGAAGCUGAGAAUUUAAGCCCCAGUAAACGGCGGUGGUAACUAUAACCAUCCUAAGGUAGCGAAAUUCCUUGUCGGGUAAGUUCCGACCUGCACGAAUGGCGUAACCACUUCCCAACUGUCUCAACCGCGAACUCGGCGAAAUUGCAUUACGAGUAAAGAUGCUCGUUACGCGCAGCAGGACGGAAAGACCCCGUGACCUUUACUAUAGUUUGGUAUUGGUGUUCGGUGUGGCUUGUGUAGGAUAGGUGGGAGACUUUGAAGCUUGGACGCUAGUUCAGGUGGAGUCAUUGUUGAAAUACCACUCUGGUCACUCUGGAUAUCUAACUUAGAACCGUAAUCCGGUUCAGGGACAGUGCCUGAUGGGUAGUUUAACUGGGGCGGUUGCCUCCCAAAAAGUAACGGAGGCGCCCAAAGGUUCCCUCAACCUGGUUGGCAAUCAGGUGUCGAGUGUAAGUGCACAAGGGAGCUUGACUGUGAGACUGACAGGUCGAGCAGGGACGAAAGUCGGGACUAGUGAUCCGGCAGUGGCUUGUGGAAGCGCUGUCGCUCAACGGAUAAAAGGUACCUCGGGGAUAACAGGCUGAUCUUGCCCAAGAGUCCAUAUCGACGGCAUGGUUUGGCACCUCGAUGUCGGCUCGUCGCAUCCUGGGGCUGGAGUAGGUCCCAAGGGUUGGGCUGUUCGCCCAUUAAAGCGGUACGCGAGCUGGGUUUAGAACGUCGUGAGACAGUUCGGUCCCUAUCCGCUGCGCGCGCAGGAAAUUUGAGAGGAUCUGACCCUAGUACGAGAGGACCGGGUUGGACGAACCUCUGGUGUGUCAGUUGUUCCGCCAGGAGCACCGCUGAUUAGCUACGUUCGGGAUGGAUAACCGCUGAAAGCAUCUAAGCGGGAAGCCGGCCUCAAGAUGAGAUUUCCAUGCCUUCGGGCGAGAGGCUCCCAGCCAGACUACUGGGUUGAUAGGCCGGAUGUGGAAGCGUGGCAACACGUGAAGCUGACCGGUACUAAUAAGCCGAUGAUUU
This 1428-nucleotide ribosomal RNA is filed under the name metagenome. Its description in RNAcentral is "bacterial LSU rRNA". It matches the Rfam family "Bacterial large subunit ribosomal RNA", at positions 1496 to 2925 of the family's 2925-position model. The record is from RNAcentral.